RNAcentral lists this ribosomal RNA (594 nucleotides) under Lactococcus sp. Its description in RNAcentral is "bacterial SSU rRNA". It matches the Rfam family "Bacterial small subunit ribosomal RNA", at positions 107 to 689 of the family's 1533-position model. The record is from RNAcentral. Lineage: Bacteria; Bacillati; Bacillota; Bacilli; Lactobacillales; Streptococcaceae.
UGAGUAACGCGUGGGGAAUCUGCCUUUGAGCGGGGGACAACAUUUGGAAACGAAUGCUAAUACCGCAUAAAAACUUUAAACACAAGUUUUAAGUUUGAAAGAUGCAAUUGCAUCACUCAAAGAUGAUCCCGCGUUGUAUUAGCUAGUUGGUGAGGUAAAGGCUCACCAGGCGGAUGAUACAUAGCCGACCUGAGAGGGUGAUCGGCCACAUUGGGACUGAGACACGGCCCAAACUCCUACGGGAGGCAGCAGUAGGGAAUCUUCGGCAAUGGACGAAAGUCUGACCGAGCAACGCCGCGUGAGUGAAGAAGGUUUUCGGAUCGUAAAACUCUGUUGGUAGAGAAGAACGUUGGUGAGAGUGGAAAGCUCAUCAAGUGACGGUAACUACCCAGAAAGGGACGGCUAACUACGUGCCAGCAGCCGCGGUAAUACGUAGGUCCCGAGCGUUGUCCGGAUUUAUUGGGCGUAAAGCGAGCGCAGGUGGUUUAUUAAGUCUGGUGUAAAAGGCAGUGGCUCAACCAUUGUAUGCAUUGGAAACUGGUAGACUUGAGUGCAGAGAGGAGAGUGGAAAUUCCAUGUGUAGCGGUGAAAUGC